CCUGAGCUGAAAUCAAAAGUCAGACUUUUAACCAACUGAGACACCCAGGCACCCAUGUAGACUGAGACUUCUUGUAGAUGCAGAGAAGAUAAAGAAAAAAAAACGUGUUAUGGCACCAGUGCAAUGCAAUUCUUUUAUUACCAAAUUUUAAUUACUGAACAGAUAGCUUAUUGGGGGGCUUCUCACAGAUAACAUUUAUGUUCAUUACAUAUCAUCAUAAUAAAAUUGUUGAAAUGUUGCUGAAUGACA
This is a long non-coding RNA of Canis lupus familiaris (dog), 249 nucleotides long. RefSeq lists it as uncharacterized. The transcript is spliced from 2 exons. NCBI's taxonomy places the organism in Eukaryota, Metazoa, Chordata, Mammalia, Carnivora, Canidae. The record is from RefSeq and is a predicted model, not a curated record.